RNAcentral lists this transfer RNA (53 nucleotides) under Caulerpa manorensis. Its description in RNAcentral is "tRNA-Leu". Lineage: Eukaryota; Viridiplantae; Chlorophyta; Ulvophyceae; Bryopsidales; Caulerpaceae. The record is from RNAcentral.
UGGGGAUAUGGCGGAAUUGGUAGACGCAACAGACUUAAUUGAUAAAGAUAGAG